AUACGUAGGGGGCGAGCGUUACCCGGAAUUACUGGGCGUAAAGAGCGCGUAGGCGGCUAGGUCAGUCGGAUGUGAAAGCCCUGGGCUCAACCUGGGAACUGCAUUCGAUACUGCCUAGCUAGAGUAUGGUAGAGGGAAGCGGAAUUCCGGGUGUAGCGGUGAAAUGCGUAGAUAUCGGAAGGAACACCAGUGGCGAAGGCGACUUCCUGGGCCAAUACUGACGCUAAGGAGCGAAAGCGUGGGGAGCAAACGGGAUUAGAAACCCCGGUAGUCC
RNAcentral lists this ribosomal RNA (274 nucleotides) under uncultured bacterium. RNAcentral's name for it is "partial 16S ribosomal RNA". It matches the Rfam family "Bacterial small subunit ribosomal RNA", at positions 523 to 796 of the family's 1533-position model. The record is from RNAcentral.